AUCAAUCCGCCUUAUCAAAAAAACAAAAAUAGUCAAGUGAUGCUUCUCUGUUAUUGUAAUUUUGUAGCAGGGAGCUUGGGAUGGGCCCAAGUAAAUGCCAGCUAGUGUCCUAUAGCGCACUCUCUUUUGGUAUCUUUCGCUUGGAACAAACCUAAUCCGCAAAAUGGAUACAAAAAAGAUGGCAGGUUUUAUCUCAAUAAAGAGUCAUUUCCCUUAGUGACUCUAGAAUGGAAUCAACCAGAUCUUAACUUAUGUUAUUUUUUGUUGAUAUAUUUUG
RNAcentral lists this long non-coding RNA (277 nucleotides) under Gossypium barbadense (sea-island cotton). Its description in RNAcentral is "long non-coding RNA (GBAR_LNC020785)". The record is from RNAcentral. Lineage: Eukaryota; Viridiplantae; Streptophyta; Magnoliopsida; Malvales; Malvaceae.